CCUACGGGAGGCAGCAGUGAGGAAUAUUGGUCAAUGGACGAGAGUCUGAACCAGCCAAGUAGCGUGAAGGAUGACUGCCCUAUGGGUUGUAAACUUCUUUUAUAUGGGAAUAAAAUGUUCCACGUGUGGGAUUUUGUAUGUACCAUAUGAAUAAGGAUCGGCUAACGCCGUGCCAGCAGCCGCGGUAAUACGGAGGUUCCGAGCGUUAUCUGGAUUUAUUGGGUUUAAAGGGAGCGUAGGUGGAUUGUUAAGUCAGUUGUGAAAGUUUGCGGCUCAACCGUAAAAUUGCAGUUGAAACUGGCAGUCUUGAGUACAGUAGAGGUGGGCGGAAUGCGUGGUGUAGCGGUGAAAUGCUUAGAGAGCACGAAGAACUCCGAUUGCGAAGGCAGUUCACUGGACUGCAACUGACACUGAGGCUCGAAAGUGUGGGUAUCAAACAGGAUGAGAUACCCCUGUAGUC
RNAcentral lists this ribosomal RNA (460 nucleotides) under uncultured bacterium. Its description in RNAcentral is "partial 16S ribosomal RNA". It matches the Rfam family "Bacterial small subunit ribosomal RNA", at positions 338 to 795 of the family's 1533-position model. The record is from RNAcentral.